GGGAAUAUGGCUUAGUGGUAGAGUACUUGGCUAGUAUGCAUGAAACCCUGGGUUCGAUUCCUCAGUACCA
RNAcentral lists this transfer RNA (70 nucleotides) under Dipodomys ordii (Ord's kangaroo rat). It matches the Rfam family "tRNA". Rfam says of the family: Transfer RNA (tRNA) molecules are approximately 80 nucleotides in length. Their secondary structure includes four short double-helical elements and three loops (D, anti-codon, and T loops). The record is from Rfam by way of RNAcentral. Lineage: Eukaryota; Metazoa; Chordata; Mammalia; Rodentia; Heteromyidae.